ACGCUGACGGAAUGCUUAACACAUGCAAGUCAACUUGAAUUUGGGUUUUUAACUUAGAUUUGGGUGGCGGACGGGUGAGUAACGCGUAAAGAACUUGCCUCACAGCUAGGGACAACAUUUAGAAAUGAAUGCUAAUACCUGAUAUUAUGAUUUUAAGGCAUCUUAGAAUUAUGAAAGCUAUAAGCACUGUGAGAGAGCUUUGCGUCCCAUUAGCUAGUUGGAGAGGUAACAGCUCACCAAGGCGAUGAUGGGUAGCCGGCCUGAGAGGGUGAACGGCCACAAGGGGACUGAGACACGGCCCUUACUCCUACGGGAGGCAGCAGUGGGGAAUAUUGGACAAUGGACCGAGAGUCUGAUCCAGCAAUUCUGUGUGCACGACGAAGUUUUUCGGAAUGUAAAGUGCUUUCAGUUGGGAAGAAAAAAUGACGGUACCAACAGAAGAAGUGACGGCUAAAUACGUGCCAGCAGCCGCGGUAAUACGUAUGUCACGAGCGUUAUCCGGAUUUAUUGGGCGUAAAGCGCGUCUAGGUGGUUAUGUAAGUCUGAUGUGAAAAUGCAGGGCUCAACUCUGUAUUGCGUUGGAAACUGUAUAACUAGAGUACUGGAGAGGUAAGCGGAACUACAAGUGUAGAGGUGAAAUUCGUAGAUAUUUGUAGGAAUGCCGAUGGGGAAGCCAGCUUACUGGACAGAUACUGACGCUAAAGCGCGAAAGCGUGG
RNAcentral lists this ribosomal RNA (717 nucleotides) under uncultured Fusobacterium sp. Its description in RNAcentral is "bacterial SSU rRNA". It matches the Rfam family "Bacterial small subunit ribosomal RNA", at positions 33 to 764 of the family's 1533-position model. Lineage: Bacteria; Fusobacteriati; Fusobacteriota; Fusobacteriia; Fusobacteriales; Fusobacteriaceae. The record is from RNAcentral.